CUACGGGUUGCUGCAGCGGGGAAUAUUGGACAAUGGGGGAAACCCUGAUCCAGCAAUGCCGCGUGUGUGAAGAAGGCCUGCGGGUUGUAAAGCACUUUCAAUAGGGAGGAAAAGCUUUGGGUUAAUACCCCGAAGUCUUGACGUUACCUUUAGAAGAAGCACCGGCUAACUCUGUGCCAGCAGCCGCGGUAAUACAGAGGGUGCGAGCGUUAAUCGGAAUUACUGGGCGUAAAGCGCGCGUAGGCGGUUUGAUAAGUCAGAUGUGAAAGCCCCGGGCUUAACCUGGGAACUGCAUUUGAUACUGUCAAACUAGAGUAUGGUAGAGGGUAGUAGAAUUCCUGGUGUAGCGGUGAAAUGCGUAGAUAUCAGGAGGAAUACCAGUGGCGAAGGCGGCUACCUGGACCAAUACUGACGCUGAGGUGCGAAAGCGUGGGGAGCAAACAGGAUUAGAUACCCUUGUAGUC
This 464-nucleotide ribosomal RNA is filed under the name uncultured bacterium. RNAcentral's name for it is "partial 16S ribosomal RNA". It matches the Rfam family "Bacterial small subunit ribosomal RNA", at positions 339 to 795 of the family's 1533-position model. The record is from RNAcentral.